UACGUAGGGACCGAGCGUUGUCCGGAUUCAUUGGGCGUAACGAGCUCGUAGGCGGCCACUCAAGUCGAAUGUGAAACCUCGAGGCUUAACCUCGAGCCUGCAUUCGAUACUGGGCGGCUAGAGUCUGGUAGGGGGGAUCUGGAAUUCCUGGUGUAGCGGUGGAAUGCGCAGAUAUCAGGAGGAACACCGAUGGCGAAGGCAGGUCUCUGGGCCAUAACUGACGCUGAGAAGCGAAAGCAUGGGGGAGCGAACAGG
Molecule: ribosomal RNA, 255 nt
Filed under: uncultured bacterium
Lineage: Bacteria
Description: partial 16S ribosomal RNA
Rfam family: Bacterial small subunit ribosomal RNA
Source: RNAcentral